This is a long non-coding RNA of Ruditapes philippinarum (Manila clam), 2784 nucleotides long. RefSeq lists it as uncharacterized. The record is from RefSeq and is a predicted model, not a curated record. NCBI's taxonomy places the organism in Eukaryota, Metazoa, Mollusca, Bivalvia, Venerida, Veneridae. The transcript is spliced from 3 exons.
CUAUUUUCAGUACCCCAUAUGAUCCCAAACAGUUAGCAGUAAAGAGAAUUGUUGGUGUCCAAGGAGAUAUUGUAAGGUCAAAGAAUAAAAACAAGAGAACACAUAUUCCUGUAAAUUAUGUUUGGGUUGAGGGAGACAACUCUAAAUACAGUCAUGACAGUAAUAGCUAUGGACCAGUUUCAAGAAGCCUCAUUACAGCAAAAGCAACCCAUGUUGUUUGGCCACCAAGCAGAUGGCAAAAACUGGAUUUCUGUUGAAAUAGCCUCAGACCGUGUAUUAAAACAUGAACAAUAUGCCUUACAACUUUAACAAUUUACAGUAUUUUGAGAGGAAUUUUAAGGAUGUUUAAACUGUGAUGAGUGUCAUUAAGUUUGAUAUUUAAUGCCUUCAAUGUUUUUAUCAACUACAUGUAUUGAAACAAAGUAGAUAAGUAACUUAGACAUGGAUUUGAUCACCAGAGCAUAACAUAAUGGUUAGCUAAUGCUUAGCAUUGAACAGUACUCAGCAUAACCACAAUAGAUCAAGUAACUAUAAGUGGUGGUUAGUUUUUUAAAUUUUAGCUCCAAUUAGCCUUUGAAUUGACCAAACUUUGCUUUUAGUAUUUAUCUUUUGGAAAAUGUUUGAUGUCAUCUGAAAUUUGAUUGUUUAAGUGAAGGUACUCUGUCCACUCAUUUCUACAUGCCUUGUCCUUAGCCAAUGUGUUAUGUUUCUUUAACACAGAACACCCACUAAGAUUUAUACUGUCUACCCAUCAACAUUUGCGGAAGAGAAUAAUAUCACUUGUUAGUUGAAGAGUGUUCCUGUAUUUCAGAAAUGCUCAGAAUGGUCUUAUUUAGUAUGAUGGCAAUUUUUCAUUGUUCUUGCAGGAUUGAGGCUUUUUGUCUAUGAAGCCAUUUGAUUGCCAGGUGAAACUAUCAGGUGUUUAAAAUUUUACUAUUUUUAUUUAAUUUUAAAAAGUCGUCUCAGCUUAACUGUGGGCAAUCGUUGCUUUUGAGUGUUUCAACUUGACAAAAGUAGACCAAAUGUGUAGUUAUAUUUUAACGACAGUUUUAUUUUUGUGUCCGAUUAUGCACGUAUUUCAUAUAGUUACUGUUCAUGUCUGUUGCAACAAGAUCUGUCAAAUGUAAAUAAGUCAAUCGCAGUAUGUUUCUGAUAGCACAUCAUCUGUGAUCUGUUUGAACAUGCCUAGACAACGUUAUAGUAACACAUUUUGGUUUGGAUUUUUACGGAUAAAAUGUUAGGGAUACAGAGAAUAUUGAUGACUUUUUUAAAAAGCAUAAAUGUAAUUAUGAGACUGUAAUACAUAUAUAAUAUUGUACAGUUUUUGUUAUUAUAAAAAGAUGUUAUUAUAUCUAUGACUUGUAGUUAUUAGUCCCCUACCGGUUUAACCGGAGGGAACUUUAGGUUUACCCUCCGUCCGUCUGUCCGUCCGUCCACAAAACUGGAUCCCGCGAUAACGCAAAAAGUACUGAAAAUAUUUUUAUGAAACUUGAUAUAUGGAUAGUUGGCAGUAUGUAGAUUAUGCACGUCUUUUUUUUAUUCCUUUGUUGAAAAUUCUGGUUGCUAUGGCAACAAAUAGUCUGAAAAUAUGGCAAAUUUAACACCUAAACUGGAUCCAGUGAUAACUCAAAAAGUACUGAAAAUAUUUUUAUGAAACUUGAAAUAUGGGUAGAUAGCAGUCUUGAGAUUAUGCACAUCUUUUUAUUUUCUUCCUAUGUUGAAAAUUCUAGUUGCUAUGGCAACAAAUAGCCUGAAUUUCAAGAUUUCUGAUUUAAAUUUUUCAGCUUUUUCACUAUUAGUUCUUUAUUUUUUAAGGUGUUUACUUCAAACUUUAAAUAUAAGUUUCUAGUCAUCAACCACAUCAUAUGUGACAAGGUUUACAACUCUAGCACAAAAAUUAUCAGUAUUACCUCCCUUGAACUUAGAAUUUUAAUGAAAAAAAAUGUUGUCUUUUUUAAUAACCUCUUUAUUUCCUAAUGUAUCUACUUCAAACUUCAUAUAUAUGUUUCUUAUUAUCACUCAACAUUUUUGAGAAGGUUAAAUACUCUAGUAAGACUAUUUCCAGAAUUAUCUCCCCCUUGAACUUAGAUUUUUUUUCGAGAAAUUGGUAUUUUUCACUCCAACUUCUUCAUUCCUUAUAGGAUUUACUUUAAAAUCCCACAUCAUAAUAAUAUGACAAGAUUGUAUAAACAUAAUUUCCUUACUAGGCAGGGAAACUUAACACAUUACUGUGAUAUAGACAAACUUUGAACUCAAAAGAUUUAAGUUCAUUCAUGUCAUUCAUUCACUGGUAAAAUUGAAUGGCCAUAAUGGCCCAUCAGAAUGUUGCUGGGGUUCUAACCGGUAGGGGACUUAUGGAUUGCUUGCAAUACUAUGAUAAUUGCUUGUUAUAUCUGUCAUUUGUAGUAUAAAAAAGGAAACCCUGUAUUUAGUCUCAAACUGUCAAGAAUUUUAUUGAGAGAUCACUUUAUUAAUAGACUGCUUUUUUGCAGUCCCUUGAGUGGUCUCUUGAUACAAUGUUGACUUUAUAACGUGCAUGUUUUAAAGGGCCCUCCCUUUACAAUUUCUCUGUCACUGUAAGAAGAAAUAUUUGCUACUGAGGUAUUUCUGGACAGAAGGGAUUAAUUUCCUUUAAAAUACGUUCAUUUUCAAAAGUAUUUUCAAAGCAAUUACAGGAUAUGAUUUUAACUUUUAUCAUAUUAGGGAAAUAUUUCAUAUUACAAAAAAUGUAUUUUAUUUUGUAAAUGACAAACUUAAAAAAAAAUAAAAACUUGUAAAAUUUAA